GAGGCGAACCGGGGGAACUGAAACAUCUAAGUACCCCGAGGAAAAGAAAUCAACCGAGAUUCCGAAAGUAGCGGCGAGCGAAAUUGGACUAGCCCUUAAGCUUUACACGCGUUAGACGAACGGUCUGGAAAGUCCGACGAUACAGGGUGAUAGUCCCGUAGUUGACGACGUGUGUUCAGUGAAAUCGAGUAGGGCGGGACACGUGAUAUCCUGUCUGAAUAUGGGGGGACCAUCCUCCAAGGCUAAAUACUACUGACUGA
Molecule: ribosomal RNA, 260 nt
Filed under: Vibrio parahaemolyticus
Lineage: Bacteria; Pseudomonadati; Pseudomonadota; Gammaproteobacteria; Vibrionales; Vibrionaceae
Description: partial 23S ribosomal RNA
Rfam family: Bacterial large subunit ribosomal RNA
Source: RNAcentral